Molecule: ribosomal RNA, 500 nt
Filed under: uncultured bacterium
Lineage: Bacteria
Description: partial 16S ribosomal RNA
Rfam family: Bacterial small subunit ribosomal RNA
Source: RNAcentral
GACGAACGCUGGCGGCGUGCCUAAUACAUGCAAGUCGAGCGGACUGAUUAAGAGCUUGCUCCUAUGACGUUAGCGGCGGACGGGUGAGUAACACGUGGGCAACCUGCCCUGUAGAUCGGGAUAACACCGAGAAAUCGGUGCUAAUACCGGGUAAUAUCUGAGAUCACAUGAUCUUAGGUUAAAAGAUGGCUCCGGCUAUCACUACAGGAUGGGCCCGCGGCGCAUUAGCUAGUUGGUAAGGUAAUGGCUUACCAAGGCGACGAUGCGUAGCCGACCUGAGAGGGUGAUCGGCCACACUGGGACUGAGACACGGCCCAGACUCCUACGGGAGGCAGCAGUAGGGAAUCUUCCGCAAUGGACGAAAGUCUGACGGAGCAACGCCGCGUGAGUGAUGAAGGGUUUCGGCUCGUAAAGCUCUGUUGUUAGGGAAGAAACAGUACCGAACGAACUAGGUCGGUACCUUGACGGUACCUAACCAGAAAGCCACGGCUAACUACGUG